CGAGGAUGGUAGUUCCCGACGCAGCUUUAAGUAAAUCAGCAGCCAGCUGUUAUUGAUUUGAAUCAGGUGAAGAGGUAGAUACUCGUAAAAACAAAUGCAUCCAUGCCACCUGGUUUGACAUUACUGCUGAGGACAGAUUUUCAGCAAUGCAGCCAGCCUGGUUGCUGAAGCCACAGAGGUAUUUUCAAGGACAAGAACCAGUGCUGAUCAAAACAUGGUCUAGUGAUGGAAUUCCAUACCCGUUCUUGGCAAGGAUUUUUUAGAAAGGAAUUUUGUCUGCAAAUCGGAAUUCAUCACUUUAGUACCGUAUUCACCAGUACGGUUUUAUCCAGGAUACCAGAGUGGCAUCUGGGAUUGAUCUCUUCAGUAAGCUGGAUUCAACAGUAACGUUCAAUCCAGGAUACCAGAGUGGCAUCAGGAUUUGAUCAUUUCAGUACUGUAUUCACUAGUUACAUUUUAUCCAGGAAACCAGAGUUGGCAUAUGGGACGAUCACUUCUUCAGUACCCUAUACCAGAGUGCAUUAUGUAUCUUGGAUCGAUGACUCUAGUACUGUAAUCAUCAUGAACAAUUGAAAUAAGAGACAAGAAUUGAGUGACAUUGUUAAAAUUAAAACAAAAUCUAAUAAGUUCUGAAUAAUUAAGUGUAUUGGCAAAGGAUAUACAUUUUGUAGUUUAAAACUGAAUGAGCUAAUGAAUGAGCUAAUGUAAGCAUAAUUAUAGUACAUUUUUGUUCUGAUAAUGUUGUGGACUGUUAAAUUGCUUUAUUGUGGAUAUAUAACAAGUUUACAACACAUAUAUAUGUAUAUAUAUAUGUAUCAAUAUCAAUAACUAAUGUUUUGUUGAAAAAUAUAUGUGCUUGUUUUUAGCUCACCUGAGUACAAAGUGCUCAAGGUGAGCUAUUGUGCUCGCCCUGUGUCCGUCAUCCGUCGUAGUCGUCCGUCGUCGUCCGUCGUCAACAAUUUGACUGUUAACACUCUAGAGGUCACAAUUCGGGAAAUAUAUUAAUGAAAGUUGGUCAGAAUGUUACCCUCGAUCAAAUCUUGGACGAGUUCGAUAUUGGGUCAACUUGGGUUAGAAACUAGGUCACUAGGUCAAAUAAAAGGAAAAGCUUGUUAACACUAUAGAAGUCACAUUUAUGACUGUAUCUUCAUGAAACUUGGUCAUAAUGUUAAUAUUGAUAAUCUCUAGGUCAAGUUCGAAUCUAUGUCAAGUGUGGUCAAAAACUAGGUCACCUGGUCAAAUUGAAGGAAAAGUUUGUUAAUACUCUAGGCCCCAAUUUCUCGAAACUUCUUAAGCUUAACAGGCUUAAGUAGCUUAUUUCAAUUACUCAAAUACAUACUUGAAUGGAAUUUUGAUAAAUGAAAAAUGGUGUAAUUUUACUAACAUAUAGAUCAUUUCUAUCUAAAGUAUAAAAACUCUUAAAGAAGUAAACAUUAUCCAAAUUAUUGAAAACCAAAAAUAGUGGGUUUAGCUUAAUCCUGUUAUAAGGGACUUAAGAAGUUCCGAGAAAUUGAGGCCUGAGGUCUCAUUUACAACUGUAUCUUCCUGAAACAUGGUCAGAAUGUUUAUAUUGAUUAGCUCUAGGCCAAGUUCGAUCUUGGUCAUGUGCGGUCAAAAACUAGGUCAUUAGGUCAAAUCAUAGGAAACGCUUGUUAGCACUCUAGAGGUCACAUUUAUGACUGUUUGUUCAUUAUACUUAGUCAGAAUGUUCAUAUUGAUUAGCUCUAGGCCAAGUUCGAAUCUGGGUCAUGUGCAGUCAAAAACAAGGUCACCAGGUCAUGUAAUAGGAAAAGCAUGUUAACACUCUAGAGGCCACAUUUAUGAUCAUAUGUUCAUGGAACUUGAUCAGAUUGUUAUUCUUGGUGAUCUGUAUUGGAUCAGAUUAGCGAUACAGGGCCUUCAGGGCCCUCUUGUUUUUUUUAAAUGUUAUAGAUGUAUAAUUCAGUUUAAAGACUCAUACUUUAAAUAAUUAAAUAUUUUCAUACUUUCUGCAUACAUUGUUAUAUUCAAUGAUGGAAUGGUGCUUACAACAUCAACUACAGGGAAUUUAUAUUCAUUUCAAACUGCUGAGGUGGUCAAACCAUUUUUCCAGGUUAUUUGCAGACCCUUAAAAAUCUAAAAUAUACAUAAUGCUGUUUUACAUAAUUUUUAAAAUAGUUUAGUACAGGUUAAUAUGUCAGAUAACUGUAAUAAUUAGU
Molecule: long non-coding RNA, 2198 nt
Organism: Mya arenaria
Lineage: Eukaryota; Metazoa; Mollusca; Bivalvia; Myida; Myidae
Exons: 5
Source: RefSeq, a predicted model, not a curated record